This is a non-coding RNA of Vicugna pacos (alpaca), 2642 nucleotides long. The record is from RefSeq and is a predicted model, not a curated record. Lineage: Eukaryota; Metazoa; Chordata; Mammalia; Artiodactyla; Camelidae.
CACAGGUUAUUAUUAUUGAUAAUGUGUAUGGCCCCAGAGCGAAAUACUUGCUAGCCAUUCAUUUGUCAUCUUUCCUAAAGGACCACUUAGAGUAGCAAAGAAUGACUUGACUGAGUCUAUUUAUAUGAGUUUUAGAAUUCUGUAACCCCAGUUCAGCAAUUGGAGAUUAGUGUUCCCUUGGCAGAAUAUUGGGGGGGAUCCCUCUCUGUCCCCCUAGGCUCACAUUCCCCUGUUCAACGCUAUAGACUUUUUAUUCCCCUGUGAAGAGGGCAGCGGGAGUACUGGGCUUUAAUUUACCUCUCCUCCCUCCUUCGUGGACCUUCCUGAGUGUUGAGGUCUGUCAGUUGUCUGGGAAGAGUGAGGGUAAAUGUCAGAACAGCUUUUUGCUCAGGCCAAAGUUCUUGGCAAGGCAAGAACAUCCCGCCCCAGGCCCCUGUUAACUUGAGUGGAUGGGGAGCUGUCAGAGCCUGGGGUUCCAUUUAAUUCAAUUCUAUUCAGUAGGCAUUUAUUACCAGCCCUGGGGAUGCAAGGAUGAAAUGUCGCAGAAUCCUCUUCUAAGACACCCACUUCGAGAGGUGAGUUUCUUGGCGUGUAGGAAGAAGGGAGCUCAAGGUGGUGGAAAGAGGAGGAGUGGAGGAUUAGGGGUAGGGAUUGUUUUGCUGAGUGGCAGUGGAAGGAAUGGUCUUUUAGCUCAGCUCUAAAGUGCACCUGGCCCAGGUCUGCCCCUUGGCCUCAGCUCACACGCCUCAGUUUUCUCUCUGUUACAGGAGUGCACUGAAAGUUCCGACGUCAGAGCCCUGGUAGGAUUAAGUGAGAUGAUGCACGUAAAGGGUUUACUAUGUGUUGUAAAACUGGGCACGUAGUGAGUGCUUAGUACCUGCCAGCUACUCCUGUUGUUACUGUUUCUGUGUGCUUCUGUAAACCGAUCUGUAAAGCAACUGCACAGACAAAUUAGAGAACUGCUGGGAAUUCUGUUACACUUUUGGUUCUGUCUUAGGCUCCUGGUGAAACCAUGUACUGUACUCACAGGUGAUGGAAAAAUGGGCUGCUGACCCCUCAGCUAAAAGGAUAGGGAGCCCAGUUAGCCUCAGUGAAGUCAGGGAGAGUUGGGGCUUGAGAUGGGAGAGCCGUGCUCCCUGAAAUGGCAAGGCGAGUGAGGGGUGGCUAUAUUGAACCCUUUGGAGAAAAGAGAGGGGCUGAAUGUGUGCGGAUAUGUACAGGCUGUCAGGAAAUGUAGGCUCCUUUAAAAAUGUGAAGACUCCACGUGAGGCGUCUCACAGAGGAUGAGGAGAGCCCGAGACUGACUGUCGGCUCUAAAGUGUAUCCCUGAAAGCUGGGCCAGAGGUGCUGGAGUCCUUCCCAGUGAGUGGUUUCAGCUCCCUCUUUACCAGUUAUGUUGUCAAACUCUUGUUUUGUGUUCCGUGGUGUGACCCUUAGAGUAGUCCUCAGUAGGUUCAAAACUCUGCAGUGUCGGUGGGGAUUGGUUUCAGGGCCGUACUGUGGAUGCUCCAAUCCCAUAGUUGGUCCUCUGUAUCCAUCAGUUCCAUGUCCACAGCCUCAGCCAAGUGCGGGUUGUAAACAUGGUGCCUGAUCAACGGUUGGUUGAAUCCACGGAUGAGGAAACCUGUAUUGUAUAGAGUUUCAUUCUUAAAUGUGUUUUGCCAGAGAGAAAGCCCGUUAGGGUGAAGGCAAAGUGGAACGUGCAUAGGAGGAGGGUGAGUAAACUAGGGACCACGUCAAAUAGGAUUUUUGGAAAAUGCACCUACAGUUGACAAUGUAACCUGCUUUAAAUAGACUGGUUUAUGUUUUUUCGCUUGGGAAAAGAGACUUAGGAAAACAGCACAGGCUCAGGGUGACAAGCGUGUCUGCCUACAGGAGACAGACCUGGAAGGAGGGUGAGUGAUGCGGCCAAGGUGAGCGCUUUGGAAAGUGCAUGCGCAGUGAGGAGAGGCAGCCCAGGGCACAGCAUCCACCCCAUCAUCCCUGUGCCGGAGAGCUGGCCUCCUGCCGAAGAUUUGGACCUUCCAAGAGGAAAUGGGAGGAUGGAAUUUUAAGUGACCCUCCCCACCUUUUAAAUAUUAGCAACAAAUUCCUCUUUUUUCCCCAUAAGAUCAUGAGACAAAAAAGUGAACCAUUUUCGGCCCAUGUCUCUGUUUUUGCAGUGAGAGAGAGUGGAGAGGAAAAUGUGUAACCUGGGGUGAGGCGGCUCCGCUGCAGACACUCCUGGUUCUGGUGCUUGGGAAGCGCAGUGCCUGCCGCGGAGCAUGUGCUCUGCACAUUUUCACUGACUCAGUGAGCCAGCUGGGUAUUCAGGCUAGUAAAUGGUGAUUUCUUAUAAAGGCUAAUACUGUCUUGGGGGAGAUUUCAUAGCACUCAAUAUCUGAUGACUUUCUUGGAUACUUUGGAGAUAUGGCUGGGGUGUCCUGAUGGAAAACUGGAAACUAGCCUGACCUCGAGAAGUCAGAUCAGGCACACUUGAUGCUGGUGGUGUUCUGCCUGCACCCCCAGCCUGCCUUGAGGGAAUCACCGUCAGAGAGGAGGUCUGAACAGAAUUAAAGAGAAGAGCUUCCACAAUCAUAGCAGAUGAAGAUCCACUGGUAAAUCCAUCGGGAUUUUUGGCCUGCCCUCCAAAGAAAAGGUAA